Molecule: ribosomal RNA, 428 nt
Filed under: uncultured bacterium
Lineage: Bacteria
Description: bacterial SSU rRNA
Rfam family: Bacterial small subunit ribosomal RNA
Source: RNAcentral
GGACCCGCACAAGCGGUGGAUGAUGUGGAUUAAUUCGAUGCAACGCGAAAAACCUUACCUACCCUUGACAUGUCAGGAAUUUUGCAGAGAUGCGAAAGUGCUCGAAAGAGAACCUGAACACAGGUGCUGCAUGGCUGUCGUCAGCUCGUGUCGUGAGAUGUUGGGUUAAGUCCCGCAACGAGCGCAACCCUUGUCAUUAGUUGCUACGCAAGGGCACUCUAAUGAGACUGCCGGUGACAAACCGGAGGAAGGUGGGGACGACGUCAAGUCCUCAUGGCCCUUAUGGGUAGGGCUUCACACGUCAUACAAUGGUUGGUACAGAGGGUUGCGAACCCGCGAGGGGAAGCUAAUCCCAAAAACCAGUCGUAGUCCGGAUUGCAGUCUGCAACUCGACUGCAUGAAGUCGGAAUCGCUAGUAAUCGCGGAUC